This 253-nucleotide ribosomal RNA is filed under the name uncultured Helicobacteraceae bacterium. Its description in RNAcentral is "partial 16S ribosomal RNA". It matches the Rfam family "Bacterial small subunit ribosomal RNA", at positions 524 to 776 of the family's 1533-position model. Lineage: Bacteria; Pseudomonadati; Campylobacterota; Epsilonproteobacteria; Campylobacterales; Helicobacteraceae. The record is from RNAcentral.
UACGGAGGGUGCAAGCGUUACUCGGAAUCACUGGGCGUAAAGAGCGCGUAGGCGGGAUAGCAAGUCAGAUGUGAAAUCCUAUGGCUUAACCAUAGAACUGCAUUUGAAACUGUUAUUCUAGAGUAUGGGAGAGGUAGGUGGAAUUCUUGGUGUAGGGGUAAAAUCCGUAGAGAUCAAGAGGAAUACUCAUUGCGAAGGCAGCCUGCUGGACUGUAACUGACGCUGAUGCUCGAAAGUGUGGGUAUCAAACAGG